CUUAUACUCCCUCCGGUCAGAAUUACUUGUCGAAAUAUUACAUGUAUCUAGACACUUUUUGCACAUAGAUACAUCCGUAUUUGGGCAAAUUUGAGACAAGUAAUACCGGUCGGAGGGAGUAGUUU
Non-coding RNA from Brachypodium distachyon (stiff brome), 125 nucleotides. The record is from Rfam. NCBI's taxonomy places the organism in Eukaryota, Viridiplantae, Streptophyta, Magnoliopsida, Poales, Poaceae.